UAUAUGUAUGUAUGUAUGUAUGUAUGUAUGUAUGUAUGUAUGUAUGUAUGUAUGUAUGUAUGUAUGUAUGUAUGUAUGUAUGUAUGUAUGUAUGUAUGUAUGUAUGUAUGUAUGUAUGUAUGUAUGUAUGUAUGUAUGGAAUCACUUUGGGUCCUGUUUGGAUGCUAUGAAUUGGGAUGUGCUAUAUAUCUUAAGUGCUAUGAGUUGGGCCCAGUUUGGAUCAUAGCAGGGACAAAGGAAAGGGAGCGACAUUAUACAUAGCUGGUACCCUGAAACCAAAAAUAUGACCUAGCACACAAUAGUAAUUAAAAUAGAUAUAACAAAGUAAUAUUUGUAGGGAGUAUCAUGAAAAGGAAACAAAUACAAAAUCGAAUAACGAUGGGGUUGAAGUUUGGUAGAUGGAAAAGUUUUGGCAACAUGGAAUUUCUCGUGUUAUCUUUCCAACAUUUAAAUUUCACAUAAAAAUAUUUCCAAAAGUUUUGGCUGUCUAAUUGUCUUUGCGAUACUCUUCCUCUGAUCAUAAUUCUUCCCAUCAUAUACACA
RNAcentral lists this long non-coding RNA (543 nucleotides) under Setaria viridis. Its description in RNAcentral is "long non-coding RNA (SVIR_LNC009102)". Lineage: Eukaryota; Viridiplantae; Streptophyta; Magnoliopsida; Poales; Poaceae. The record is from RNAcentral.